RNAcentral lists this ribosomal RNA (253 nucleotides) under uncultured bacterium. RNAcentral's name for it is "partial 16S ribosomal RNA". It matches the Rfam family "Bacterial small subunit ribosomal RNA", at positions 524 to 776 of the family's 1533-position model. The record is from RNAcentral.
UACGAAGGGGGCUAGCGUUGCUCGGAAUCACUGGGCGUAAAGCGCACGUAGGCGGCUUUUUAAGUCAGGGGUGAAAUCCCGGAGCUCAACUCCAGAACUGCCUUUGAUACUGAGAGGCUUGAGUCCGGGAGAGGUGAGUGGAACUGCGAGUGUAGAGGUGAAAUUCGUAGAUAUUCGCAAGAACACCAGUGGCGAAGGCGGCCCACUGGCCCGGUACUGACGCUGAGGUGCGAAAGCGUGGGGAGCAAACAGG